UGGGCAGGUGAAAUGUCACGAGAGGCAGG
This 29-nucleotide non-coding RNA is filed under the name Mus musculus (house mouse). The record is from RNAcentral. Lineage: Eukaryota; Metazoa; Chordata; Mammalia; Rodentia; Muridae.